AUCUGUUCUUAACAGUUUAAUAUCUGAUACAUCCCCUACCUGCAUAUUGAAUGGAUUUUUGGAUCACGGAGCUGCCGCUGGAGCCGGAGCCGGAGCCGGGGCUUGCUCCGUCCACUCCACGCUUCAGCCUGGUAUUGCAGUGUCUCCAGAAACGGUGU
This 158-nucleotide small nuclear RNA is filed under the name Sinocyclocheilus anshuiensis. Its description in RNAcentral is "U2 spliceosomal RNA (ENSSANG00000008154.1)". It matches the Rfam family "U2 spliceosomal RNA", at positions 38 to 185 of the family's 192-position model. From Rfam's summary of the family: U2 is a small nuclear RNA (snRNA) component of the spliceosome (involved in pre-mRNA splicing). Complementary binding between U2 snRNA (in an area lying towards the 5' end but 3' to hairpin I) and the branchpoint sequence (BPS) of the intron results the bulging out of an unpaired adenosine, on the BPS, which initiates a nucleophilic attack at the intronic 5' splice site, thus starting the first of two transesterification reactions that mediate splicing. The record is from RNAcentral. Lineage: Eukaryota; Metazoa; Chordata; Actinopteri; Cypriniformes; Cyprinidae.